RNAcentral lists this unclassified non-coding RNA (230 nucleotides) under Hevea brasiliensis (rubber tree). Lineage: Eukaryota; Viridiplantae; Streptophyta; Magnoliopsida; Malpighiales; Euphorbiaceae. The record is from RNAcentral.
GGUACAGGUGCCUUGAUCUACUUGUUAAUUCUGUCCUUGCCACUUGGUCUGUGUACAUUGAUAAUAUGCUCAACUUUAGCAGCUGUAAUGCUGAUAUAUGGCAUGUACCAGAAGAAGGCCGCAAAGUUAACUCAAGAGUUCACUGCUUCUGCUAAUCAAGUGGCACAAGAGGCAUUUUCUUUGAUGAGAACAGUCCGUAUUUAUGGUACAGAAAAUUUAGAACUUGAAAG